Molecule: ribosomal RNA, 315 nt
Filed under: uncultured eukaryote
Lineage: Eukaryota
Description: partial 18S ribosomal RNA
Rfam family: Eukaryotic small subunit ribosomal RNA
Source: RNAcentral
CCCUUAGAUGUUCUGGGCCGCACGCGCGCUACACUGAUGCAUUCAACAAGCCUAGCCUUGACCGAGAGGUCCGGGUAAUCUUUGAAACUGCAUCGUGAUGGGGCUAGAUUAUUGCAAUUAUUAAUCUUCAACGAGGAAUGCCUAGUAAGCGUGAUUCAUCAAAUCGCGUUGAUUACGUCCCUGCCCUUUGUACACACCGCCCGUCGCUCCUACCGAUUGAAUGGUCCGGUGAAAUCCUCGGAUCGAGCCGUGGGGCAACUCCGGUUCGAGAAGUUGAUUAAACCUUACCAUUUAGAGGAAGGUGAAGUCGUAACA